UUCUUAUUGAACCUACAGGUUAUGGCCAUGUAACCGGGAUGAUGCACCACGUCGGUGUUCUGUCGCAUCAAUGUCGGCGGGUGAACGCACACGUUGUUCUUGCAAAACAACGCCUCACCAUCCUGGAUAUUUGGCAGAGGCAUCUUCGCUCAAGGCAGGCCGGCGCAUGCAUGCAAAUCAUCUAGUUUAAUUUUGUUAGAACGUGCCGCGACAAUUUCACCGUGUUCGCGCGAUCAAACUUCUCGUCUAGGAGAGCGGUCGGAUCGUCGGGGGACGAUCACGGCAAGACCCAAAUGACAAUCGUCGAAGCGUGAUCACGAGGGUAUAACGCGUUGCCAGAAAACAGAUCGAUUGCAACGAAUACAAUCCUGUCCUUUACACUAGGAAACACGAUAUUCACGUAAAAGGUAAAAAGUUCCGAUUUCACUGUUCCUUUUCCUGGCAACUCUCAACGUCGAACAUCAUGCCGAGUUUGAUGUUUCUAGAGUGCAGCAGAACUGCUCGGAGGUCGAACUUCGUCGCGCAGAAGCGCGCGAAUAGACCUGCAUCGGAAUGCUAUAAUGAACUGAUUCCUCUUCCUGAACGUAACGUUAUCGUACGCUCGUUGCGUGCAUGUUAUCACGUCAAUUAGCUUUGAUAUACGCAUAGAGCCGAUAAAACGUGUACACAUAUGGAGAAGCAUGCAUCUCAAUUACUUAAAUCUCUCUCGUCUUUACCUGUUUCUUUUCUUUUUCUCUGUUUUCUGUUUCUUUUUAUUUACGAGGAUAACACGUCGUCAAAAUUCUCUUCUCCAAAGACCAGAAAUCGUCAGGACUUCAUUGUGUUUGAAAUUCUUACGAAAAACGAAGUUAAUCGACUUAACUUUCACUUGAAUGGAUUCAUGAAUGAAAGAUGUAUCAUCGGCACUACUCGUUGUGUGUAAUCGAACUUUGAAUGAAAACGCGUUGGUCACUUUCUGAAACGCGAAACGUUUGUUAGAAUCACUUGCAAUGAAUCGCUAUUUGCACGACGUUCAUUAUUUAUUUCGUUGCUCGAUUUCUAACGAAUAAACGAAUUAUGAAUCUAACGUCAACCUGCUGCUCAGUACUGUAGUAAAACGUGUUUGCCAACAGACAGAACACAGAUGCCUCUUAUCCAGAAUCAAUAUUUCCAUCUGAUCGUGAACCUGGUGGUUGGCUUACUAUCCAAGCCGCCGACAUAACGUUGUCUAGCGUUGUACAUAUGGUUUUUAUUGAUUUUUCUCCUCAAGUUAAGUUUGAAUUAUUUGCUCUCGAUUUUCAUGAAACGAGCUUGCCUUCUUAUAAUCUCGUUCGGAAGAUACUUUUACGAGCAGUCUUUCUUCUCAAACUUAUUAAAGUUUGUUUAAAGUAUACUUUAUAAUAUGCGUCAAAUAAUUUUGUAAUUUGUUUUGUUAAAUUAUCUGAAGGUAUUUAGAAGUAAAAUGGUACAUUUAUGUGUCAAAGAUAAUUUUUAUUACCUUUCUAAAACAUUUUUUCUACAAAUACCAAUAAAAAAAAAACAUUUGAUAUCAGAUAUAAAAAAACGUAUGACGUACGAUUGUAGAGCACAAUCAUUUUAAAAUAAGACAUAAAUAUUACAAACUAGCAUCAACAAUGAAUCGUGAUAAAUAAACAACAUGUAGAAUAUAUUACUGAUGAUUAGGAACAUUUAAAAAUUCGAAAUAUUUAUAUUUAUUUAAUGAUGUAUGUUUCUUCAUUAAUGAAGAACUUAAUAUCUAUAUCACAGAUAAUAGAUGUAUAUAAAUUAAUGUAAUUCAUAGUUAAAAAGUAUUUCAUGAUUAUUGUCUAACGCUAAUGCUGAUUUAGGUCCACGUUUUAAAUAUGAAAUUGUAGAAUAUGCAGAGAAGUGAAAAUCUUCUUGUAAAUAACCAUUUACAAGUAAAUGUCCUAUUACACUUUCUCCUGAUUCUCUUGUAAAUUUUGGAACUGGUAUAGAAGAUACCCUCAAAGUUGAUGCACCCUUACCAUACCAGGCAUCUAUAAGCUUUAAGGCGGUUAAUCUGGUUUCACUUUGUACCGCUUUUGUCAUGAUCUGAUAUAACUGUCUACAAUAAGGAGCUAUAUUCACUUGUUUACUCUCUUUAGGUUUUCGACAAUGAUCGCACAUUUCUGCGCAAUCAGUUCUAGUCCAAACUUCUUCGAAGUGAGUUGCAAUCAAGCUACGUCUACACGAUGUUUGAUCUAAACAAUACGCUAGCAUUUUGUACAAAUUUUGUAAACCAACUUUAUCUUGAAACACCAUUGUACUUAAUUUAAAUAUAUCCAAUAGUCUGUA
Long non-coding RNA from Frieseomelitta varia, 2295 nucleotides. RefSeq lists it as uncharacterized. Lineage: Eukaryota; Metazoa; Arthropoda; Insecta; Hymenoptera; Apidae. The transcript is spliced from 2 exons. The record is from RefSeq and is a predicted model, not a curated record.